Molecule: ribosomal RNA, 302 nt
Filed under: uncultured Chloroflexota bacterium
Lineage: Bacteria; Bacillati; Chloroflexota
Description: bacterial SSU rRNA
Rfam family: Bacterial small subunit ribosomal RNA
Source: RNAcentral
UGCCGUGAGGUGUUAGGUUAAGUCCUGCAACGAGCGCAACCCUCGUCGCUAGUUAAUUUUCUCUAGCGAUACUGCCCGUAAAACGUGGAGGAAGGUGGGAUGACGUCAAGUCAGCAUGGCCUUUAUGUCUUGGGCUACACACACGCUACAAUGGAUGGUACAAAGGGUUGCCAAAGAGCGAUCUGGAGCUAAUCCCAAAAAACCAUCCUCAGUUCAGAUUGCAGGCUGCAAUGCCUGCAUGAAGUUGGAGUUGCUAGUAACCGCAGGUCAGCACACUGCGGUGAAUACGUUCUUGGGCCUUU